Seminavis robusta is the source of this 82-nucleotide non-coding RNA. The record is from the annotation of a GenBank genome assembly. NCBI's taxonomy places the organism in Eukaryota, Bacillariophyta, Bacillariophyceae, Naviculales, Naviculaceae.
GACAACGUGGCCGAGUGGUUAAGGCGGUAGAUUCGAAAUCUACUGGAGUUUCUCCGCGUAGGUUCGAGUCCUGCCGUUGUCG